Molecule: ribosomal RNA, 460 nt
Filed under: uncultured bacterium
Lineage: Bacteria
Description: partial 16S ribosomal RNA
Rfam family: Bacterial small subunit ribosomal RNA
Source: RNAcentral
CCUACGGGAGGCUGCAGUGAGGAAUAUUGGUCAAUGGACGAGAGUCUGAACCAGCCAAGUAGCGUGAAGGAUGACUGCCCUAUGGGUUGUAAACUUCUUUUAUAUGGGAAUAAAACGUUCCACGUGUGGGAGUUUGUAUGUACCAUAUGAAUAAGGAUCGGCUAACUCCGUGCCAGCAGCCGCGGUAAUACGGAGGAUCCGAGCGUUAUCCGGAUUUAUUGGGUUUAAAGGGAGCGUAGAUGGGUUGUUAAGUCAGUUGUGAAAGUUUGCGGCUCAACCGUAAAAUUGCAAUUGAUACUGGCAGUCUUGAGUACAGUUGAGGUAGGCGGAAUUCGUGGUGUAGCGGUGAAAUGCUUAGAUAUCACGAAGAACCCCGAUUGCGAAGGCAGCUUACUAAACUGUGACUGACAUUGAUGCUCGAAAGUGUGGGUAUCAAACAGGAUUAGAUACCCCAGUAGUC